UGGGGUGUCGCCAAGCGGUAAGGCAAGGGACUUUGGAUCCCUCAUUCGGAGGUUCGAAUCCUCCCACCCCAGCCA
RNAcentral lists this transfer RNA (75 nucleotides) under Candidatus Caldatribacterium saccharofermentans. RNAcentral describes it as "tRNA-Gln". It matches the Rfam family "tRNA". Rfam says of the family: Transfer RNA (tRNA) molecules are approximately 80 nucleotides in length. The record is from RNAcentral. Lineage: Bacteria; Pseudomonadati; Atribacterota; Atribacteria; Atribacterales; Candidatus Caldatribacteriaceae.